RNAcentral lists this small RNA (30 nucleotides) under Bombyx mori (domestic silkworm). Its description in RNAcentral is "ovarian small RNA-21405". The record is from RNAcentral. Lineage: Eukaryota; Metazoa; Arthropoda; Insecta; Lepidoptera; Bombycidae.
UACUCGGCAGACCACUUACGCCAGAACUGC